This 1227-nucleotide ribosomal RNA is filed under the name metagenome. Its description in RNAcentral is "bacterial SSU rRNA". It matches the Rfam family "Bacterial small subunit ribosomal RNA", at positions 104 to 1326 of the family's 1533-position model. The record is from RNAcentral.
GGGUGAGUAACAUAUCGGAACGUACCCUAUCGUGGGGGAUAACGAAUCGAAAGAUUCGCUAAUACCGCAUACGACCUGAGGGUGAAAGCGGGGGAUCGCAAGACCUCGCGCGACAGGAGCGGCCGAUAUCGGAUUAGCUAGUUGGUGAGGUAAAGGCUCACCAAGGCGACGAUCCGUAGCUGGUCUGAGAGGACGACCAGCCACACUGGGACUGAGACACGGCCCAGACUCCUACGGGAGGCAGCAGUGGGGAAUUUUGGACAAUGGGGGAAACCCUGAUCCAGCCAUUCCGCGUGAGUGAAGAAGGCCUUCGGGUUGUAAAGCUCUUUCGGCAGGAACGAAAAGGUGCGGGCUAAUACCCUGUAUCAAUGACGGUACCUGAAGAAGAAGCACCGGCUAACUACGUGCCAGCAGCCGCGGUAAUACGUAGGGUGCGAGCGUUAAUCGGAAUUACUGGGCGUAAAGCGUGCGCAGGCGGUUUUGUAAGACAGAUGUGAAAUCCCCGGGCUUAACCUGGGAACUGCGUUUGUGACUGCAAGACUUGAGUGCGGCAGAGGGGGGUGGAAUUCCACGUGUAGCAGUGAAAUGCGUAGAGAUGUGGAGGAACACCGAUGGCGAAGGCAGCCCCCUGGGUCGACACUGACGCUCAUGCACGAAAGCGUGGGUAGCAAACAGGAUUAGAUACCCUGGUAGUCCACGCCCUAAACGAUGCCAACUAGGUGUUGGGGAAGGAGACUUCCUUAGUACCGUAGCUAACGCGUGAAGUUGGCCGCCUGGGGAGUACGGUCGCAAGAUUAAAACUCAAAGGAAUUGACGGGGACCCGCACAAGCGGUGGAUGAUGUGGAUUAAUUCGAUGCAACGCGAAAAACCUUACCUACCCUUGACAUGCCAGGAAUCCCGGAGAGAUUUGGGAGUGCUCGAAAGAGAGCCUGGACACAGGUGCUGCAUGGCUGUCGUCAGCUCGUGUCGUGAGAUGUUGGGUUAAGUCCCGCAACGAGCGCAACCCUUGUCAUUAGUUGCCAUCAUUUAGUUGGGCACUCUAAUGAGACUGCCGGUGACAAACCGGAGGAAGGUGGGGAUGACGUCAAGUCCUCAUGCCCCCCAUGGGUAGGGCUUCACACGUCAUACAAUGGUCGGUACAGAGGGUUGCCAAGCCGCGAGGUGGAGCCAAUCCCAGAAAGCCGAUCGUAGUCCGGGUUGGGGUCUGCAACUCGACUCCGUGAAGU